This 167-nucleotide small RNA is filed under the name human gut metagenome. RNAcentral describes it as "Clostridiales-1 RNA". It matches the Rfam family "Clostridiales-1 RNA". The record is from RNAcentral. RNAcentral also lists the same sequence under 1 other name.
AGGGGAUCAAGCUUAGAAGCCCGACGCAAGCUUGCUUGCAGGCGGGAUUAUAAGUUUGAGACCCACUCCCCACAUGAGUAAGUAGCCAUUUUUUCGAAGAAAAAAUGAGCGGAUUACGAAUGUGGGGGGCAGGAUUGCGGGAGCACGAAGUGCGGAGCAAUCCGGUU